CCUACGGGAGGCAGCAGUGGGGGAUAUUGCACAAUGGGGGGAACCCUGAUGCAGCGACGCCGCGUGGGUGAAGAAGCGCCUCGGCGCGUAAAGCCCUGUCAGCAGGGAAGAAAAUGACGGUACCUGAAGAAGAAGCCCCGGCUAACUACGUGCCAGCAGCCGCGGUAAUACGUAGGGGGCAAGCGGUAUCCGGAUUUACUGGGUGUAAAGGGGGCGCAGACGGCGAUGCAAGCCAGGAGUGAAAGCCCGGGGCCCAACCCCGGGACUGCUCUUGGAACUGCGUGGCUAGAGUGCAGGAGGGGCAGGCGGAAUUCCUGGUGUAGCGGUGAAAUGCGUAGAUAUCAGGAGGAACACCGGUGGCGAAGGCGGCCUGCUGGACUGCAACUGACGUUGAGGCCCGAAAGCGUGGGGAGCAAACAGGAUUAGAUACCCCAGUAGUC
This 440-nucleotide ribosomal RNA is filed under the name uncultured bacterium. RNAcentral describes it as "partial 16S ribosomal RNA". It matches the Rfam family "Bacterial small subunit ribosomal RNA", at positions 338 to 795 of the family's 1533-position model. The record is from RNAcentral.